GAGUUUGAUCCUGGCUCAGGAUGAACGCUGGCGGCGUGCCUAACACAUGCAAGUCGAACGGGGUCUUAGUACGGAAGUUUUCGGAUGGAAGGAUUAAGACUUAGUGGCGGACGGGUGAGUAACGCGUGGGUAACCUGCCCUGUACAGGGGGAUAACAGUUGGAAACGGCUGCUAAAACCGCAUAACAUGGAGAUACCGCAUGAUAUUUCCAUCAAAUAUUUAUAGGUACAGGAUGGGCCCGCGUCUGAUUAGCCAGUUGGCAGGGUAAUGGCCUACCAAAGCGACGAUCAGUAGCCGGCUUGAGAGAGUGACCGGCCACAUUGGGACUGAGACACGGCCCAAACUCCUACGGGAGGCAGCAGUGGGGGAUAUUGCACAAUGGGGGAAACCCUGAUGCAGCGACGCCGCGUGAGUGAAGAAGUAUUUCGGUAUGUAAAGCUCUAUCGGCAGGGAAGAAAAAAA
RNAcentral lists this ribosomal RNA (462 nucleotides) under uncultured bacterium. RNAcentral's name for it is "bacterial SSU rRNA". It matches the Rfam family "Bacterial small subunit ribosomal RNA", at positions 9 to 454 of the family's 1533-position model. The record is from RNAcentral.